UGCAGUCGAGCGCAGUCCUUCGGGACCGAGCGGCGGACGGGUUAGUAACGCGUGGGAAUAUACCCAGAUCUAAGGAAUAGCCUCGGGAAACUGAGAGUAAUACCUUAUACGCCCUUCGGGGGAAAGAUUUAUCGGAUUUGGAUUAGCCCGCGUUAGAUUAGAUAGUUGGUGGGGUAAUGGCCUACCAAGUCUACGAUCUAUAGCUGGUUUUAGAGGAUGAUCAGCAACACUGGGACUGAGACACGGCCCAGACUCCUACGGGAGGCAGCAGUGGGGAAUCUUAGACAAUGGGCGAAAGCCUGAUCUAGCCAUGCCGCGUGUGUGAUGAAGGCCCUAGGGUCGUAAAGCACUUUCGCCAGAGAUGAUAAUGACAGUAUCUGGUAAAGAAACCCCGGCUAACUCCGUGCCAGCAGCCGCGGUAAUACGGAGGGGGUUAGCGUUGUUCGGAAUUACUGGGCGUAAAGCGUACGUAGGCGGAUUAGUAAGUUAGGGGUGAAAUCCCGAGGCUCAACCUCGGAACUGCCUCUAAAACUGCUAGUCUUGAGUUCGAGAGAGGUGAGUGGAAUUCCGAGUGUAGAGGUGAAAUUCGUAGAUAUUCGGAGGAACACCAGUGGCGAAGGCGGCUC
RNAcentral lists this ribosomal RNA (626 nucleotides) under uncultured bacterium. Its description in RNAcentral is "bacterial SSU rRNA". It matches the Rfam family "Bacterial small subunit ribosomal RNA", at positions 56 to 727 of the family's 1533-position model. The record is from RNAcentral.